This 85-nucleotide transfer RNA is filed under the name Felis catus (domestic cat). It matches the Rfam family "tRNA". From Rfam's summary of the family: Transfer RNA (tRNA) molecules are approximately 80 nucleotides in length. Their secondary structure includes four short double-helical elements and three loops (D, anti-codon, and T loops). RNAcentral also lists the same sequence under 1 other name. The record is from Rfam by way of RNAcentral. Lineage: Eukaryota; Metazoa; Chordata; Mammalia; Carnivora; Felidae.
GCCUGGGUGGCUCAGUCAGUUAAGCAUCCGACUUAAGCUCAGGUCAUGAUCUCACAGCUCGUGGGUUCAAGCCCCACGUCAGGCA